This is a long non-coding RNA of Cygnus atratus (black swan), 509 nucleotides long. RefSeq lists it as uncharacterized. The transcript is spliced from 5 exons. NCBI's taxonomy places the organism in Eukaryota, Metazoa, Chordata, Aves, Anseriformes, Anatidae. The record is from RefSeq and is a predicted model, not a curated record.
AAUUUUUAAGCAGGCAGGAGAAUUGCUUUACCUGAAUGGAAAGCAGGCUGCCUCAACGGCUGUGGAUGAUGCCACCCAAGUAGGCUGAGAGGAAAAAGCCAGCACAGGAUUGCCCCAGGUUGCAGUGAGCGGAGAUCUGGAGUGGGAUGGCAUCUAUGCAGUUCUACACAAUCCAUGGUGCAGGACUGGAGGUAGAUUUGCAUACUGGCAUCCUGUCUGGAAGCUUGUGCUGUCAACUGGCUAACUGAAUUCAGAGUAGAACAGGUGUAUUUUCAUCAUACGAAGAUGAGCAGUCAUUGAACGUCAAUAAGGUUGAUUUCAAAUAUUACUUCCCACCCUUAGUUCUUGAUCUGUUGGCAAAAUAAUCCUCCAGAAGAAAUGAAAGGUAGAUUGACCCUCUUGUUUAUCUGUAUUCACAAAACACUGUCACUGGACUAUUGAAAAGCCACCACAGAAGGGUAGCAUGGGGUUGGGGGGUAACGGGACUUAACGGUAACGGGAGGAAGGAC